Molecule: ribosomal RNA, 964 nt
Filed under: Singa nitidula
Lineage: Eukaryota; Metazoa; Arthropoda; Arachnida; Araneae; Araneidae
Description: SSU rRNA
Rfam family: Eukaryotic small subunit ribosomal RNA
Source: RNAcentral
AAAAGCUCGUAGUUGGAUCUCAGCUCCGGCCGGACGGUCCGCCUACCGGUGGUUACUGUUCGUCGCCGAGCGUUCAGGCGGUUAUUCUUGAUGAUCUUCACCGGUUGUCUCGGGUGACCGCCAAGUUUACUUUGAAAAAAUUAGAGUGCUCAAAGCAGGCGCGACGCCUGAAUAAUUGUGCAUGGAAUAAUGGAAUAGGACCUCGGUUCUAUUUUGUUGGUUUUCGGAACACGAGGUAAUGAUUAAGAGGGACAGACGGGGGCAUUCGUAUUGCGACGCUAGAGGUGAAAUUCUUGGACCGUCGCAAGACGAACUACUGCGAAAGCAUUUGCCAAGAAUGUUUCCAUUAAUCAAGAACGAAAGUUAGAGGUUCGAAGGCGAUCAGAUACCGCCCUAGUUCUAACCAUAAACGAUGCCAGCCAGCAAUCCGCCUGUGUUCCUCAAAUGACACGGCGGGCGGCUUCCGGGAAACCAAAGCUUUUGGGUUCCGGGGGAAGUAUGGUUGCAAAGCUGAAACUUAAAGGAAUUGACGGAAGGGCACCACCAGAAAUGGAGCCUGCGGCUUAAUUUGACUCAACACGGGGAAACUUACCCGGCCCGGACACAGGAAGGAUUGACAGAUUAAGAGCUCUUUCUUGAUUCUGUGGGUGGUGGUGCAUGGCCGUUCUUAGUUGGUGGGGCGACUUGUCUGGUUAAUUCCGAUAACGAACGAGACUCUAGCCUACUAAAUAGACGUUCCSAUCCUCUUUUGUSGGACGUUCUUCUUAGAGGGACAAGCGGCGUUUAGCCGCACGAGACAGAGCAAUAACAGGUCUGGGAUGCCCUUAGAUGUCCGGGGCCGCACGCGCGCUACAUUGAAGGAAUCAGCGUGUGCUUUCCCUGUCCGACAGGACUGGGUAACCCGUUGAACCUCCUUCGUGCUGGGGAUUGGAGAUUGUAAUUUUCCUCCUUGAACSAGGAAUUC